RNA transcript from Populus trichocarpa (black cottonwood), 2088 nucleotides. It is a transcript of the gene named serine/arginine-rich splicing factor SC35, with no coding region annotated. The transcript is spliced from 10 exons. The record is from RefSeq and is a predicted model, not a curated record. Lineage: Eukaryota; Viridiplantae; Streptophyta; Magnoliopsida; Malpighiales; Salicaceae.
GUACAAGGACUAAAUAAGGCGAUGAAUCUACUAUAUGAAUAACCCCAGCAAGAUUAUUUUCAAGAAAGUUCUCUCAAUCUCUUUCUGAACCGCAAACCCUAACUCUCUCUGCAAAAGAUGUCUCACUUCGGCAGGUCUGGCCCUCCAGACAUCGCCGACACAUACUCUCUUCUCGUCCUCAACAUCACCUUCCGUACUACUGCUGAUGAUCUGUUUCCGCUAUUCGACAAGUACGGCAAGGUUGUUGACAUCUUCAUCCCUAGAGAUCGAAGAACUGGGGAAUCGAGGGGCUUUGCAUUUGUGCGCUACAAAUACGCUGAUGAAGCUCAGAAGGCAGUGGAAAGGCUAGAUGGGAGGGUUGUUGAUGGUCGCGAAAUAACAGUUCAGUUUGCAAAAUAUGGGCCCAAGGCUGAGAGGAUUCAUAAGGGAAGGAUUGUUGAAACGCCUUCAAAAUCAAGGCACAGGUCCAGAAGUCGCAGCCCUCGGAGAAGGUACCGAGAUGACUCUAGAGAUAGGGACUCUAGGAAGAGAAGUAGGAGCAGAAGCAGGGACAGGGACAGGUCUGACCGUGACAGGUACCGUGCAAAGGACAAAGAUUAUCGUAGACGGAGCAGGAGUCGCAGUGCCAGUCCUGAUUACUCCAGAGGACGUGGUAGAAGCCGUUAUGAUGAUGAGCGGCGAAGUAGCAGCCGAUCUAGGGAUAGUCUCUCCCCUCGGCGGAGCCUGGAACCUCGAAGGAGUUUUUCCCCACGUAAGAAUUCCCCUGUGAAAGGUGAAAGCCCUGAUAGACGCAGCCGUGAUGGUGGGUCUCCAACCCCUCGAAGUGCUUCUCCACGAGGUCGGCCUGCUGCGUCUCGUAGCCCAUCCCCGCGAAAUUCAGAUGUUGAUGAAUGAGCUUUGAGGGUUGCAUGGAUCUUUUGUGGCACUUUGACUAGUGCCAAUCUGAUGGUCAUGUUGCUACAGCUGAACUCUCUUUUAAUCGUUGAAUAUGUUCUGGUCAGGUUUUAAGAACUGGUUUGGUACUUAUAUAUUUCUAUGUUGAACCCAAUGCAUCUCUAAUUAACUUGGUGGGUUUGCCUUGUAUGGACUUUAUAGUUUGUAGGCUGAUACUUUACUCUCCAUGAAAGACUUGAGUUUUUUGUUCCGGAAAAGAUUGACGUGGGGCAGAUGGCCAGGAUGUUGAUAUUGUGGAUAUUGUAGCUGUUGAUGCUGUUUGUAAAACAUAGAUGGAUGAUCGUGGUUGUGAUUUCUCUAAAUUUCUGAUGAGUGGUAAGAUAAAAAAACGUCCACCCCUGAUUUCAAAACAAAUCGUGUCAUUCUGGUGUCUGAUGUUUGACCUGAUUAUCUUCUGGUCUUUGUUUAUCUUGAAAUUAUUGGUCCUGAGAUGGGGGUGGUAGUUGCUGUGAUGGUAUAGAAGGUGGACACAAGAUGAUCGUGUUUUGCCUGUAGCUGAUGCUGCAAAUGAAGUGGACCUGUUAAUAGAUCUCAUACUGAUACAUAGUAUGAGACAUAAUAUGCAGUUCUGAAUUUUGCAGCCGCAGUUUUUUACAGGCCAGUGAAGUAAGCAUACAAGUCCGUGACUGUAGCUGUUGAAGUGAUGGCUGAUGCCUGUUCUGUUGUAUGAUAUUGGUCGGUCCGUAACUUAUGCAAGUAUUAGUGAAUAAUCACCUGUAGCGGUCAGUUGCUGCCCUCCAUGAUGGGGUUGGUUCGGUAAUGGUACUAGCACUUUUGAUACUGGUGGUGGCUGCUACCUUGCUGUGUUGCUGGCUUGCUGUCAGUUCCAUAAGUUGUAUGCUUUGCCAUGUCAUCCACUUUACUGCAAUACUUUGUUUGGAAAAAGUUGCUUUGCAAUUUGCUUUUUUUUUUUUUUUAUCGUGCUCCAGUCAAAUUUUAUGCCCAUUAGGGAAAGAUAACUGCUGUUUCUUAACCCUUAUUUUAUUCUUUUUUGUUAGGGUUUCUUAUGUAUUGGAUUGUACAUCUGCCACCUGGUCCUUGUGCUUUAUCUAGAUUGUAUCUUCUAAACACUUUUGAGUGUGCUUAUUGUAUGUUCUUUGAACUAGUUGGUUGGUAGUAUUAUUACAUCACUAA